Molecule: ribosomal RNA, 2817 nt
Filed under: Enterococcus faecalis EnGen0330
Lineage: Bacteria; Bacillati; Bacillota; Bacilli; Lactobacillales; Enterococcaceae
Description: bacterial LSU rRNA
Rfam family: Bacterial large subunit ribosomal RNA
Source: RNAcentral
UUAAGUGAAUAAGGGCGCACGGUGGAUGCCUUGGCACUAGGAGCCGAUGAAGGACGGGACUAACACCGAUAUGCUUUGGGGAGCUGUAAGUAAGCUAUGAUCCAGAGAUUUCCGAAUGGGGGAACCCAAUAUCUUUUAUAGGAUAUUACUUUUCAGUGAAUACAUAGCUGAUUAGAGGUAGACGCAGAGAACUGAAACAUCUUAGUACCUGCAGGAAGAGAAAGAAAAUUCGAUUCCCUGAGUAGCGGCGAGCGAAACGGGAAGAGCCCAAACCAACAAGCUUGCUUGUUGGGGUUGUAGGACUCCAACAUGGUAGUCUGUUAGUAUAGUUGAAGGAUUUGGAAAAUUCCGCUAAAGAGGGUGAAAGCCCCGUAGACGAAAUGCUGACAACACCUAGGAGGAUCCUGAGUACGGCGGAACACGAGAAAUUCCGUCGGAAUCCGCGGGGACCAUCCCGCAAGGCUAAAUACUCCCUAGUGACCGAUAGUGAACCAGUACCGUGAGGGAAAGGUGAAAAGCACCCCGGAAGGGGAGUGAAAUAGAUCCUGAAACCGUGUGCCUACAACAAGUCAAAGCUCGUUAAUGAGUGAUGGCGUGCCUUUUGUAGAAUGAACCGGCGAGUUACGAUUGCAUGCGAGGUUAAGUCGAAGAGACGGAGCCGCAGCGAAAGCGAGUCUGAAUAGGGCGAAUGAGUAUGUAGUCGUAGACCCGAAACCAUGUGAUCUACCCAUGUCCAGGUUGAAGGUGCGGUAAAACGCACUGGAGGACCGAACCCACGUACGUUGAAAAGUGCGGGGAUGAGGUGUGGGUAGCGGAGAAAUUCCAAACGAACUUGGAGAUAGCUGGUUCUCUCCGAAAUAGCUUUAGGGCUAGCCUCGGAAUUGAGAAUGAUGGAGGUAGAGCACUGUUUGGACUAGGGGCCCAUCUCGGGUUACCGAAUUCAGAUAAACUCCGAAUGCCAUUCAUUUAUAUCCGGGAGUCAGACUGCGAGUGAUAAGAUCCGUAGUCGAAAGGGAAACAGCCCAGACCACCAGCUAAGGUCCCAAAAUAUAUGUUAAGUGGAAAAGGAUGUGGGGUUGCACAGACAACUAGGAUGUUGGCUUAGAAGCAGCCACCAUUUAAAGAGUGCGUAAUAGCUCACUAGUCGAGUGACCCUGCGCCGAAAAUGUACCGGGGCUAAACAUAUUACCGAAGCUGUGGACUACACCAUUAGGUGUAGUGGUAGGAGAGCGUUCUAAGGGCGUUGAAGGUCGAUCGUGAGGACGGCUGGAGCGCUUAGAAGUGAGAAUGCCGGUAUGAGUAGCGAAAGACAGGUGAGAAUCCUGUCCACCGUAUGACUAAGGUUUCCUGGGGAAGGCUCGUCCGCCCAGGGUUAGUCGGGACCUAAGCCGAGGCCGAUAGGCGUAGGCGAUGGACAACAGGUUGAUAUUCCUGUACCAGUUGUUUUUGUUUGAGCAAUGGAGGGACGCAGUAGGCUAAGGAAUGCAUGCGAUUGGAAGUGCAUGUCCAAGCAAUGAGUCUUGAGUAGAGUUAAAUGCUUUACUCUCUAAGGACAAGUUGUGACGGGGAGCGAAAUAAUAGUAGCGAAGUUCCUGAUGUCACACUGCCAAGAAAAGCUUCUAGUGAGAAAACAACUGCCCGUACCGUAAACCGACACAGGUAGUCGAGGAGAGUAUCCUAAGGUGAGCGAGCGAACUCUCGUUAAGGAACUCGGCAAAAUGACCCCGUAACUUCGGGAGAAGGGGUGCUGACUUCGGUCAGCCGCAGUGAAUAGGCCCAAGCGACUGUUUAUCAAAAACACAGGUCUCUGCAAAAUCGUAAGAUGAAGUAUAGGGGCUGACGCCUGCCCGGUGCUGGAAGGUUAAGAGGAUGGGUUAGCUUCGGCGAAGCUCAGAAUUGAAGCCCCAGUAAACGGCGGCCGUAACUAUAACGGUCCUAAGGUAGCGAAAUUCCUUGUCGGGUAAGUUCCGACCCGCACGAAAGGCGUAACGAUUUGGGCACUGUCUCAACGAGAGACUCGGUGAAAUUUUAGUACCUGUGAAGAUGCAGGUUACCCGCGACAGGACGGAAAGACCCCAUGGAGCUUUACUGUAGUUUGAUAUUGAGUGUUUGUACCACAUGUACAGGAUAGGUAGGAGCCGAUGAGACCGGAACGCUAGUUUCGGAGGAGGCGCUGGUGGGAUACUACCCUUGUGUUAUGAACCCUCUAACCCGCACCACUAAUCGUGGUGGGAGACAGUGUCAGAUGGGCAGUUUGACUGGGGCGGUCGCCUCCUAAAAGGUAACGGAGGCGCCCAAAGGUUCCCUCAGAAUGGUUGGAAAUCAUUCGAAGAGUGUAAAGGCAGAAGGGAGCUUGACUGCGAGACCUACAAGUCGAGCAGGGACGAAAGUCGGGCUUAGUGAUCCGGUGGUUCCGCAUGGAAGGGCCAUCGCUCAACGGAUAAAAGCUACCCUGGGGAUAACAGGCUUAUCUCCCCCAAGAGUCCACAUCGACGGGGAGGUUUGGCACCUCGAUGUCGGCUCGUCGCAUCCUGGGGCUGUAGUCGGUCCCAAGGGUUGGGCUGUUCGCCCAUUAAAGCGGCACGCGAGCUGGGUUCAGAACGUCGUGAGACAGUUCGGUCCCUAUCCGUCGCGGGCGUUGGAAAUUUGAGAGGAGCUGUCCUUAGUACGAGAGGACCGGGAUGGACUUACCGCUGGUGUACCAGUUGUUCUGCCAAGGGCAUUGCUGGGUAGCUAUGUAGGGAAGGGAUAAACGCUGAAAGCAUCUAAGUGUGAAGCCCACCUCAAGAUGAGAUUUCCCAUUUCUUUAAGAAAGUA